UACGAAGGGGACUAGCGUUGUUCGGAUUUACUGGGCGUAAAGCGCGCGUAGGCGGAUCGCUAAGUCAGGGGUGAAAUCCCAGGGCUCAACCCUGGAACUGCCUUUGAUACUGACGAUCUGGAGAUCGGGAGAGGUUGGUGGAAUUCCGAGUGUAGAGGUGAAAUUCGUAGAUAUUCGGAGGAACACCAGAAGCGAAGGCGGCCAACUGGCCCGAUACUGACGCUGAGGCGCGAAGGCGUGGGGAGCAAACAGG
RNAcentral lists this ribosomal RNA (253 nucleotides) under uncultured bacterium. RNAcentral's name for it is "partial 16S ribosomal RNA". It matches the Rfam family "Bacterial small subunit ribosomal RNA", at positions 524 to 776 of the family's 1533-position model. The record is from RNAcentral.